This 1015-nucleotide ribosomal RNA is filed under the name Bacillus pumilus. RNAcentral describes it as "bacterial SSU rRNA". It matches the Rfam family "Bacterial small subunit ribosomal RNA", at positions 354 to 1360 of the family's 1533-position model. The record is from RNAcentral. Lineage: Bacteria; Bacillati; Bacillota; Bacilli; Caryophanales; Bacillaceae.
UAGGGGAAUCUUCCGCAAUGGAUCGAAAGUCUGACGGAGCAACGCCGCGUGAGUGAUGAAGGUUUUUCGGAUCGUAUAGCUCUGUUGUUAGGGAAGAACAAGUGCGAGAGUAACUGCUCGCACCUUGACGGUACCUAACCAGAAAGCCACGGCUAACUACGUGCCAGCAGCCGCGGUAAUACGUAGGUGGCAAGCGUUGUCCGGAAUUAUUGAGCGUAAAGGGCUCGCAGGCGGUUUAUUAAGUCUGAUGUGAAAGCCCCCGGCUCAACCGGGGAGGGUCAUUGGAAACUGGGAAACUUGAGUGCAGAAGAGGAGAGUGGAAUUCCACGUGUAGCGGUGAAAUGCGUAGAGAUGUGGAGGAACACCAGUGGCGAAGGCGACUCUUUGGUCUGUAACUGACGCUGAGGAGCGAAAGCGUGGGGAGCGAACAGGAUUAGAUACCCUGGUAGUCCACGCCGUAAACGAUGAGUGAUAAGUGUUAGGGGGUUUCCGCCCCUUAGUGCUGCAGGUAACGCAUUAAGCACUCCGCCUGGGGAGUUCGGUCCCAAGACUGAAACUCAAAGGAAUUGACGGGGGCCCGCACAAGCGGUGGAGCAUGUGGUUUAAUUAAAAGCAACGCGAAGAACCUUACCAGGUCUUGACAUCCUCUGACAACCCUAGAGAUAGGGCUUUCCCUUCGGGGACAGAGUGACAGGUGGUGCAUGGUUGUCGUCAGCUGGAGUCGUGAGAUGUUGGGUUAAGUCCCGCAACGAGCGCAACCCUUGAUUUUAGUUGCCAGCAUUCAGUUGGGCACUUUAAGGUGACUGCCGGUGACAAACCGGAGGAAGGUGGGGAUGACGUCAAAUCAUCAUACCCCUUAGGCCCUGGGCUACCCACGUGCUACAAUGGACAGAACAAAGGGCUACAAGACCCCAAGGCUUACCCAAUCCCAUAAAUCUUUUAUCAGUUCGGAUUGCAGUCUGCCACUUGACUGAGUGAAGCUGGAAUCUUCUAGUAAGCGCGUUACAGAAUACGC